Canis lupus familiaris (dog) is the source of this 3260-nucleotide RNA transcript. It is a transcript of the gene named serine and arginine rich splicing factor 2, with no coding region annotated. The transcript is spliced from 3 exons. NCBI's taxonomy places the organism in Eukaryota, Metazoa, Chordata, Mammalia, Carnivora, Canidae. The record is from RefSeq and is a predicted model, not a curated record.
CGGGCGCCAUUUUGUGAGGAGGGAUAUAAACGGGCGCCAGGGCCGGCCGCCCGCCCAGUUGUUUCUGUGGUGGAGGCGGCGGCUGCGGUGGUUCGCUCGCCUUUCCCGUCCACCGCGCCCGGUCCGGCCUCUCCCAGCGUCUCAACCGCGCGGAAGCCAACUGCCAGAGGCGCGGCGUCGAGCCGGGCUAGUGUGGGGAAACCGCCGCCUCAGCCGAGCGCGCGGGCCCGCCCAGGGCGUUACUAGGUCGGCGCGCAGUCGCGGCCCCCGGCCGGCGCUCCAGAGCCAUGAGUUACGGUCGCCCGCCUCCCGAUGUGGAGGGCAUGACCUCCCUCAAGGUGGACAACCUGACCUACCGCACCUCGCCCGACACCCUGAGGCGCGUGUUCGAGAAGUACGGGCGCGUCGGCGACGUGUACAUCCCGCGGGACCGCUACACCAAGGAGUCCCGCGGCUUCGCCUUCGUCCGCUUCCACGACAAGCGCGACGCCGAGGACGCCAUGGACGCCAUGGACGGGGCGGUGCUGGACGGCCGCGAGCUGCGGGUGCAGAUGGCGCGCUACGGCCGCCCGCCGGACUCGCACCACAGCCGCCGGGGCCCGCCGCCCCGCCGCUACGGGGGCGGGGGCUACGGGCGCCGGAGCCGCAGCCCUCGGCGACGCCGCCGCAGCCGCUCCCGGAGUCGGAGCCGCUCCCGGUCCCGCAGCCGCUCCCGCUACAGCCGCUCCAAGUCUCGCUCCCGCACUCGCUCGAGGUCGCGGUCCACGUCCAAGUCCAGGUCGGCGCGAAGGUCCAAGUCCAAGUCGUCGUCGGUGUCCAGGUCUCGCUCGCGCUCCCGGUCCCGGUCCCGGUCCAGGAGUCCUCCGCCCGUGUCCAAGAGGGAGUCCAAGUCCAGGUCGCGCUCCAAGAGCCCCCCGAAGUCUCCCGAGGAGGAAGGAGCGGUGUCCUCUUAAGCGAAUGGUAAUGUCAAUGGGGAUCCGAGACGCACGGACUCGAACUCAGAUGGGGUGUGCAGGAGCUUGUUAUGAUCCGUGUUAAUAUAAAGUGGCUCCUGGUGUCGGGAGUGCGGCUGUGAGCUAACUCAGCUUUGGGAGUAAUACUGAAGAGAGGGGUCUGCAGAGAGGAUGUGCAUAAAGCUUAGAUAUUAAUGGCUGUUUCGUAAACUGUUUGAGACCUAUUAAUGAAAAUGACUAUUUCUUGCUGUUUUUAUCCAACGUCUGCAUUUUCCCCUUUAAAGCUGCGGUCUCCUGUUUGAUAAAAGAAUAUUGGCCAGUAUUGCAGAUUUUAACUGAUUUGGCUGAUCCUCCAGGGACCAGUUUCUGUGGGCGUGUAUUGGAGCAGGUUUGUCUUUAAAUGUUAAAGAUGCACUAUCCUCUUAGCGAAAACGAUCAGUUCAACUAUUGUUGUACUGACUGGGACUUCAUAUUCUAACGGAUGUGGCAAACGAAUUGCAAAAAAGAAGCAAUGAACUUUCGGAACCCCAAAAAAGUUUACAGAUGGGUCAACAAGCAACAUAACAGAAGACUUGGGGGAGAAGGACCGCACACUCAGUCCAUCGAAGAGUCCUUGGAACAAGCAACUGGCUAUUGAAAAGGUUAUUUUGUAACAUUUUGUCUAACUUUUUACUUGUUUUAAGCUUUGCCUCAGGUGGCAAACUUCAUUUUAUGUGCCAUUUUGUUGCUGUUAUUCAAAUUUCUUGUAAUUUAGUGAGGUGAACGACUUCAGAUUUCAUUAUUGGCUUGGAUAUUUGAGGUAAAUUUUCCUUUUUGUUUAUAUAGUGCUGACUUUUUUUGUUUGAAAUUAAACAGAUUGGUAACCUAAUUUGUGGCCUCCUGACUUUUAAGGAAACGUGUGCAGCCAUUACACACAGCCUAAAGCUGUCAAGAGAUUGACUCAACAUUGCCUUCAUUCCUUAAAAUUAAAAACCUACAAAAGUCGGUGUAAAUUUGUUUGUAUAUGUUAUUUACCUUCAGAUCUAAAUGGUAAUCUGAACCCAAAUUUGUAUAAAGACUUUUCAGGUGAAAAGACUUGAUUUUUUGAAAGGAUUGUUUACCAAACACAAUUCUAAUCUCUUCUCUUGUGUAUUUUUGUGCACUAGGCGCAGUUGUGUAGCAGUUGAGUAAUGCUGGUUAGCUGUUAAGGUGGCGUGUUGCAGUGCAGAGUGCUUGGCUGUUUCCUGUUUUCUCCUGAUUGCUCCUGUGUAAAGAUGCCUUGUCGUGCAGAAACAAAUGGCUGUCCAGUUUAUUAAAAUGCCUGACAACUGCACUUCCAGUCACCCGGGCCUUGCAUAUAAAUAACGGAGCAUACAGUGAGCACAUCUAGCUGAUGAUAAAUACACCUUUUUUUCCCCCCUACCCCCAAAAUGGUAAAUCUGAUCAUCUUCAUGUAUGAACUUAAAAUACGGAAAAUGUUAAGGAAGCAAAAUGGUUUGUAACUUUGUAAGUACUUAUAACAUGGUGUAUCUUUUUGCUCAUGAAAAUUCUGUACUAUAACCAUUGUUUCUGUAGUUUAAUUAAAACGUUUUCUUGGUGUUAGCUUUUCUCAGAAUAUGUCUUGGUCUUUUUUCCCCCUCCCUUUAUUUGAAAGACCUGUGACCUGUGCAAUUUACCUUGUGAAUUGUUACUGACUGUACAGUAUGAAGGUGAAAUGUUUAGUAGUUGACUUUUUUCCCCCUUAAGUUAAAGUGGAAAUGCCAUUUCAGCACCCAUAACCCCUAAAAUCAAUGCUCUAGGGUAGCACUUCUCUUGAGGUUGUGGAUACUCCCUUCUUAGCUUAAUUUAUGGCCUGUUUUUAUUUUUUAUUUUUUUAAAGAACAGCCCAAGUCGUUUCUUGUUUGUUUUCUUACAGGCGUGUUAAUUUUUGUUUUCAUGGCUUUGUAACCCACAAGUGUUGUCUAGGUGACCCAUCACAAUCUUUAAGGCUGACAGAUUUGGACCAUCUUCAAAUCCAAUGUUUUUUUUGUACACCCAAGAAGUUAAAGUGGUCUGAGUCUAGUUGGCAUGCCAGGUUGCUAAUUAGUAUUGACGUCGUCCCAGAACAACCUGUAUGUAGGUGGUAAUUCAGAGACUGUCCUUUGCAAAGGAGAUGACCAGCAUUUCAACCGUAUGUCUUCCUGGAAGGGCAGAUUCUGCUAUAUCUUCCUUGUCUGCAUCAAAAGACUCCAGAGGAAUGUGGACACAUUUCAUAUCCCACUUGUAGAGCAAAGCUUCAAGUGACCAGUCAGCACUGAGAAAAAAAAAUAAAUUGUUUUUUUAAAAUCA